This 440-nucleotide ribosomal RNA is filed under the name uncultured bacterium. RNAcentral's name for it is "partial 16S ribosomal RNA". It matches the Rfam family "Bacterial small subunit ribosomal RNA", at positions 338 to 795 of the family's 1533-position model. The record is from RNAcentral.
CCUACGGGUGGCAGCAGUGGGGAAUAUUGGACAAUGGGGGAAACCCUUAUCCAGCGACGCCGCGUGAGGGAAGAAGGUUUUCGGAUUGUAAACCUCUGUCAGUGGGGACGAUGAUGACGGUACCCACUGAGGAAGCCACCGCUAACUACGUGCCAGCAGCCGCGGUAAUACGUAGGUGGCAAGCGUUGUCCGGAAUGACUGGGUGUAGAGGGAGCGUAGGAGGGAUGGCAAGUCAGAAGUGAAAAUUAUGGGCUCAACUCAUACCCUGCUUUUGAAACUGCUUUUCUUGAGGGAAGGAGAGGCAAGCGGAAUUCCUAGUGUAGCGGUGAAAUGCGUAGAUAUUAGGAGGAACACCAGUGGCGAAGGCGGAUUGCUGGGCUUUUACUGACGCUGAGGCUCGAAAGCGUGGGGAGCAAACAGGAUUAGAUACCCCUGUAGUC